AUGCAACUCUUGGCGUUUGCAGACGGAGGAGUCAGGACUCAGGCAAAACCUACACUGUUCAGGAUUCAGCAACCAGCCAAGGAACAUAUCAAGAAUAUUGAAAAAACAGCUGCUAGUGCUCUACAAGAGACUUCAGAGGCCUUGUGUACACAACAUCCAAAAUCAGAUGAAAAGCUUGACAGCAUACAACUUUGGUGGCCUGGAAAAGAGCUAGCUAUGGAUAAGAAGCUAUCGGACUAUAUUGGUGUUAAUGAUAAAACAAAGAUUGUCAUCAGGCUAAGCCUCCCAAUGAACCCUUAG
Molecule: ribosomal RNA, 300 nt
Filed under: Triticum aestivum (bread wheat)
Lineage: Eukaryota; Viridiplantae; Streptophyta; Magnoliopsida; Poales; Poaceae
Description: partial small subunit ribosomal RNA
Source: RNAcentral